This is a long non-coding RNA of Lactuca sativa (garden lettuce), 1556 nucleotides long. RefSeq lists it as uncharacterized. The record is from RefSeq and is a predicted model, not a curated record. Lineage: Eukaryota; Viridiplantae; Streptophyta; Magnoliopsida; Asterales; Asteraceae.
CACUAUCAACACUUUUGAAUCAGUAUCCCUUGCUUUUAGGAAUUGAAUCGUAUCCUCUUUUUUCAACAAUUGAAUGGCACUUUCAGCAAUUGAAUUAGUCAAGAGAAGAUACACUUUAUAUAAAUUGCAUCUCUUCUGUCAGCCGAUUAAAACCCUAAAAUGUUGAACUCUCUCAAUCGGCGACCAACGCCUACCAGUAGAAGAUGUAGAUGACGACCAGGCAAAUAUCUAUAGAUUACACCUGCCUUCACUCAUAUCUCCCCCAUACAACUCUUGGGGCAACUGAUUGCACAACAACAGAUAUACAAUCGAGUUGCUUCGGGUCAAACACGAUCCAACGCCACAGUCAAACAGCCAUCUCUCUCACAACCACCGUUUCCCGUCAUUGCCAAGACCUACACAUGUUUGAUAACAUGAAAUCUACCUAAAAGAAUCCACCUUGAUCUCUUUAUCGCCCAAUCGGUUGUUUUUUCAAUUAGACAUAUGUUAUGCUGCUUUUUAGUUAUAAGAUAAUUGUUUGUGUUAUUAUUUUUGUCGUUGUGAUGAAAAUUUUGGAGCUCUGGAGAAGUCGGAGGGAUGAUUUAUAGAUUCCAGUUACUAGGUAAAAGUUUAGUAUUUUUUUAAUGUUAUUAGCAAAGCCCCUUUUGGUGUCGUAUCACCUCGACCAUUCCCGUCGUCUUCCUAUGAUUUAUGGUCGAGUCUUUAAAGGCCAUCCUUCAAUCUGGGUCAAAGUGAAACAUAUCAUAGUUGUGAAUGGAAAGCUGUUGAUGGGCAAAAUUGGCAGAAACAAGUAUGGAAGCGGGCUUUUGACAUACAUUUUUCUUAAUUUUCUCGUGUUUUGUGCUUGGAUUUAACCCUCUUUCUUGUGUUUGGUUAUUAUUGUCAAGAAAAUAUACAUGGACUUUAAGGUGUACUCUGGAUACUGUUUUUGCUACUGAUGAAAGUGUAUUUUUGACAUACAUUUUUUCUAAUAUUCCUAUGUUUUGUUCAUACAUAUGGUUGAAUAUCACAAAUCAGUUAUUUGAUGUUUUCAUCCCUUUGGAAGUGAAAUAUCAAUAUUUGUUAAGUUGUAUGAUUAUUGUUGUAGUUUUCUUAUUUCCAUCGUUAAUGCUUAAUACACUUGAAAUCUUGAAUCUUGAUAGGCUACAUGUGAGAAUCUGACUAGAAAGAGAAGAAUUAUGAUGAUCUGAGGGUUCUUCUAUUGAAUUCUUGAAGUAUGUACAUUUUUUACACUUACAAACACUAAAACUGGAGCUUUUUACUUCAUCACAAGCUGCUUUUUAUCACCUUUUUGUUUUGAUUACUUUUUUUUUAUAUUUAGUUAUCAGGGGUUUAUUUAUUGUUCAAAUGCAAAUAACAAAAAACUAUUAAGUUUUUUUUUUAUUCCUGUUGAAGUAUUGGUGCCUCACGAAAGCAAAUUGUUAUUUACAGGUAAGUACAUGCAGGGACGGAGGAUUGAGACAGUUUGCCUCUAUUUGAUAAUCAUUAAGUUUAUUCUCAUAUAUGGUUCAUUUGUGAAUAAUAUUCUUGGUAUUAUUGGAUCCAUAUCUUAAUUA